ACUUUUUAAAGACUAGAAGGUUGCAUCCUUCUAGUUGAAAAACAUUAAAGUUCUUCUAGAUAACCUCUCCUUUUUGGCAUUUCAAUAUCCUUUGGCAGGCAGGCAGGUCUGCAAGUGGCUAUGGAGAAGCCAACAUGGACUCUACAGAUCCUGAGAAAAGCAGAUGGCCCUGCAGAUCUUACCACCCAGUCUUCAUCCUUUGAAGAUUGAGUCAUCGAAGGAAAUUAGCAGUUCCUUAAGAGAAGACUUGACUGAUACUCUGCAUGUGUGGAUGAGCCUAAAUUUGGUGCUCCUUUCCUGUGUGAUCAUCUGUUUUCUGCUGCCAACAGAGUACCUCAGAGCAAACUGAGGAGCUUCCAGCAUUCUCCAAGCUAUACUAGCCACUCCACUCCCUCCAUAAAAGGGAUGAAGAUACUUAUUUACUUAAUUUAUGCCAGGAAAUAUAGCAUCAAUAUUUAUUAAGCUCCCCCUCCAAAAAAUACAAGGACUAUAUAAUUUUUAUCAUCAUUUGACAGAUGAGCCCCAAAGGAGUUAAAGCAUUACCCUUUGCUUUUUAUUCUGCUGAGUAUUAUAAACCAUAUGGUGUGGAAUGUGACUGUGUA
Molecule: long non-coding RNA, 602 nt
Filed under: Vulpes vulpes (red fox)
Lineage: Eukaryota; Metazoa; Chordata; Mammalia; Carnivora; Canidae
Description: lncRNA (ENSVVUG00000017267.1)
Source: RNAcentral